RNAcentral lists this non-coding RNA (30 nucleotides) under Callithrix jacchus (white-tufted-ear marmoset). Lineage: Eukaryota; Metazoa; Chordata; Mammalia; Primates; Cebidae. The record is from RNAcentral. RNAcentral also lists the same sequence under 1 other name.
UGAGGAUUGUAUUGAUAACCACUGGGGUUC